This is a long non-coding RNA of Panthera uncia (snow leopard), 1229 nucleotides long. RefSeq lists it as uncharacterized. The record is from RefSeq and is a predicted model, not a curated record. Lineage: Eukaryota; Metazoa; Chordata; Mammalia; Carnivora; Felidae. The transcript is spliced from 2 exons.
AGCGGGGACGCGCCCUCUUGGCAAUCACUUUCCACCAGCCCGUCCCCAGGAGCACCACUCGGGCUCAGCGGUUAAUCUGUCGACAGCCAGGGGAAUGAACAUACUGAGUCAUCUGCCUCCUUUUCAACCAAGACGGAUUUCUGGGAAUGUGAAGAACACUGAAGCGACGUGACAUUCCUUAGCUUGUAGCAGGAAGGCAACUCCCCGCUUCCUUUCUAGACGGGUUGCCUCAUCUUUCUGAACAGGACGAAACAGAGUUCCUUGAAACUUACAUGCCUCUGGGAAAGAGAGGCAGGAGAGCGCGGCCCGGCACCACCCCUCCCUUUGUGGGGCCGCUCGGUUACCCUGCCCCAGAGGAAGGGUGGGCAAGCACUGUCACCUCCGCCGUCCCGCCUUCGCCUGGGUGAGAAAGAUGCACAUGAUGUGCACCCCAUGCCCACCGUGCGCACGGUCAUGGGCACUGGUCAAAGCACAGUCGCUACACGUGUUCGGGGCAUCUAGGGACACAUCAGCCCUGGUGAGGGGCAUGGCAGCCGGUUCCAGGCUCCGUCCUUUUCAGAAUAAGUCACAGGACAGGAAAGAAGCAAGUGUGAAAGUAAGAAAAAGGAAGGAAUGUGUGUGUUCAAGGACUCACGGAAGAGAGACCUUCCAGAAGACAGUCAACUGCGUCGGCUACUCUGAAAGACCCAACAGGAUGAAGACCAAGAGAAAGAAAGGAGGAAGCCACCGAUGACCUCGCCUUUCUUUGGGGAAACGUUUAUUUAUCACCGUUUAUCUCCAGCCACCUUUGUCUCUCAGCCCAGACCCACAUUUUCCAUGGCCUCCUCCUGAACAUCAUUGCCUUGCUAUUCCUUGGCUAGUUCAAGCUUAGCAUACCCCAAACAGAGCUCCACCCCUUCACUCCAGCCCCCCCAGCCCCUGAUCAGACAGACAGACACCAGACUCAUUCACCUGUUUUCUCCAUCCUCCUUGGUUACGUCACCAUCCACCCUCAUCCACUGAGUAUCAUUCCAGAAUCUUCCCUUCCUCUCCCGGUGCACAUUUAGAUGACCCUUUAAAUAUCUCUUUGGCUAAUCUCUCCUCUCUAACCUCGAGGCUACAGCCUUAGGCCUUCCUCGUCUCUUAUCUAGACCAGCUCACCACCACCUUACCCCUGGUCCUCCCACUCUUAACCCGCCCUCCACACCUUCACAGACUCUGAAUGCCUUUGGACCAUUUGACUGACACAU